UUGUUUAAAUAAAUAAUUUUCGAGGACGAAAAUAAUUGUUGUUGGGGAGAUUGUAAGAUCCUUGAAAAUAUUUGUAAGUUAGAUACUAGAUAAAAAAAAAAAAUUAAAAAAAAAAAUAGUAAAUAGUAAAUUAUGAAUAGUAAAUUGUGAAUAGUAAAAGGUGAAUAGUAAAAAGAAAAAAAAAAUUAUUUUUGGAAAGGAUAAGUAUUACACGUAGCUUUGAGAUCAGAAUUCACCAAUUUGCAAAUAAAAAAUUAUUUUUGUAAUAGUAAAAUGAAUAAAAAAAUGAAUAGUACAAAUGAAUAGUAAAAAUGAAUAGUAAAUUUUUUUACUAUAAAUAGCCAAGGGGGGAGGCUGAAAAUUUACACCAAAGAACUUAGAAAAAUGUUGAGAGAAGAGAGUUGGAAGAAUUUCUAAUUGCAAAGGGGAUAUUCUGGAAGUUUUCAGAGAGCGAGGAGAUUAAGUCUGUAAUAGAGAUAAUGUUGCAGAUGCGGUUGAAAAAGCUUAGAGAUGAGAGAGAUGCGGGGAAAAACUUUCAGGGAUUUUUGUAAAAAUAAUAAAUUUGUAUUGGGAAGAUUAUGUUGUGUAAAACUUAUAAGUUGAAAUUUCAAUGGUGAAGACUAUAUUGUUUAAAGUUUGAAAGUUUGGUAUUGUACUUUGGAGUAAUUGAAAUAAAGUUUGAUUGUUUAUAUGAGA
This is a long non-coding RNA of Vigna angularis (adzuki bean), 696 nucleotides long. RefSeq lists it as uncharacterized. The record is from RefSeq and is a predicted model, not a curated record. The transcript is spliced from 2 exons. NCBI's taxonomy places the organism in Eukaryota, Viridiplantae, Streptophyta, Magnoliopsida, Fabales, Fabaceae.